AGGAGCUGGAUACGGCAAACGUAAGUCCGGUUCUGUGAGAGCAAAGAAAGCAGGGGAAUUACCUGCUUUCUAGCUACUCGAU
RNAcentral lists this non-coding RNA (82 nucleotides) under Acetivibrio alkalicellulosi. Lineage: Bacteria; Bacillati; Bacillota; Clostridia; Acetivibrionales; Acetivibrionaceae. The record is from RNAcentral.